GGGGGCGACUUGGCUUCGACGUGGAUUACAAAACCUUGGGAGCAUGCAGUGGGUUCAGUGACCACUUAAACACUAGCUGGAAACUUUUAGUUGCCAAUGAUGACAACUACGCUUUAGCUGCUUAAUAAGUUAGCUGAAUCUUCGCCUGAGUUCUCCUGUAGACCCAGUGUCGAAGAUCAUUCAUACAGGAUCGCGCACGAAGCACGUUUGGGGCGGAGUCGUUAAAACUUACCAAAACCGCUGGUAGAAACCCUGUCUCUCGGGUAGCUACUGGUUAAACUAAUAGAGUGACUAAGCAUGUAGCGCCUUCAGGCAGCGGAUUUGCGGACGGGGGUUCGAUUCCCCCCGCCUCCACCA
RNAcentral lists this transfer-messenger RNA (357 nucleotides) under Leucothrix mucor. It matches the Rfam family "transfer-messenger RNA". Rfam says of the family: Bacterial tmRNA, also known as 10Sa RNA or SsrA, is named for its dual tRNA and mRNA-like properties. The record is from RNAcentral. RNAcentral also lists the same sequence under 1 other name. Lineage: Bacteria; Pseudomonadati; Pseudomonadota; Gammaproteobacteria; Thiotrichales; Thiotrichaceae.